This 666-nucleotide ribosomal RNA is filed under the name Carinigera praecipua praecipua. RNAcentral describes it as "Isabellaria praecipua praecipua partial 12S ribosomal RNA". The record is from RNAcentral. Lineage: Eukaryota; Metazoa; Mollusca; Gastropoda; Stylommatophora; Clausiliidae.
CCCACUUUAAUUUAAUGGAUAGGGAUAAGCAUAAAAUAUAUUUAAAUAUGGAAAUUUGAUUGGUAUUAUUACACCUUCCAGUUUAAAAUUUUAAACAAAGUAUGAAAAUACAAUUUAGAUAAUUUUUUAAUUUAGGUUAAUUAGGUGCCAGCAACCGCGGUCAUACCUGAUAAAUUAGCUUAUUAUAUAUAGUAUUUAAUAACUUUAUCUUUAAAAUAAUAAAAUAAAUAGUGAAAUACUAUUUUAUUUAAUAUCCUAUCAAGAUUAAAUAAUAAACAAACUCAUCAUUUAAAACUAGGAUUAGAGACCCUAUUAUUAUGAGCUAAAUAAUUAAAUACUAAGAAGUAAUAUUUCAAUCAUAAAACUUAAAUGUUAUGGCGGCUAAACAAAACAAUUAGGGGAACUUACCAUAUAAUUGACAACCACCAAGCUUAAAAUCACUUAUUAUAAUAAUUUGUAUACCGUUGUCUUCAUGAACCCCUCGAAGGGGUUCAGAAUCAUAAAAUUCUAUAGUAAGACAAAUCAAGGUGCAGUCUAUUAAUAAGAAAUAAGGUGAGUUACAAUAAAAUUUACUUUCGAAUUAAAAUAUGAAAUAUUUUAGAAAGAUGGACUUAAAAGUAAUUUAUAAAAAUAUACAUUUUAAAAGAAUCCGUAUUGCUUAGUGUA